CAGCACUCAGCACUCAGGACCACUGUUCCUGCAGGGCUGGGGUCAACUGAUGACCUGAGAAACUUUGAAACGUGAAGGUUGAUAUGCAAAACAGCAGAUGACAGAUAGAGCCCAGGCAUCCCUAACCUCUCUGCUUCAGGACUGGGAGUGAGGAGGUCACUUUGCAGACCCAGGUUUGAAUUCUGGAAUCUCUGCUUCCUGGCUGUGGUGUGGCAUUGGAGCAGGGUCAAUAGCUUUUCUAUGCAGCAGACCAUGGAGCAAUGGGUGAGGCAUCAACUAGGUCCUGGGAAUACAGAGGCCUAGAAAACCAAAGGAGGGGAGACGAAUUUCAACUCCUGUUUCCAAAGUCUCAGUCCAUGCUCACUUGAUGCUGCUGUUCCGUUGCCCACGAUGAGGAGUACAUCAUGCUGGGGAACUUAUGGCGGAGCUCCUUCCCCCAAAGAGGACAGGAAGCGGGAAGGAUAAACAGAAGGCAAGGCCAGUGUCUGCUUGCUCCAGCAGGACCCUCCUUCCAUAGUUCUACCACUUUCCAAGUCUGGUGCAAGCUUGAAUUCCAGGCUGGAGAGGUGACUCAGCAGUGGAGCUCCAGCUGCUCUUCAGAGGACCUGGUGUCUGUUCCCAGCACCCAUGGCAGCUCACAGACAUCCGUAACUCCAGUCCCAAGAGGUCUAGCGCCCCCUUCUGGCCUCCACAGGCACUGCAUGUUUGUGGUGCAGAGACAUAAAUGCAUUAAGACACCCAUACACAUAAAAUUUAAAAUAGUAAUAAUAAUAAAGGCUAAAAAAAGGGAAAGAAAGCCCCACCAAAGUUUGAAUCCAUACACUGAUGAAAUAAUAGCCAUCAAGAUCCAACCAGUUCUCUGAAGCCUACCUCAUUGGGUAGAUACUUUAUAUCCAAACCAUUGCUCUCCAUGCAUUCAACCCCACAUGCCAUUCUAAGGAGUUUUUUUUUUUUUUUGAGACAGGGUUUCUCUGUGGCUUUGGAGGCUGUCCUGGAACUCGCUCGGUAGACCAGGCUGGUCUCGAACUCACAGUGAUCCGCCUGCCUCUGCCUCCCGAGUACUGGGAUUAAAGGUGUGCACCACCAACGCCCGGCUUCUAAGGAGUUUUUAAAACUGGUAUUUUGUCAAUGAAAUGUUAUUGUCAUAUUAUAAUUUAUUCUUGAA
Mesocricetus auratus (golden hamster) is the source of this 1165-nucleotide long non-coding RNA. RefSeq lists it as uncharacterized. The record is from RefSeq and is a predicted model, not a curated record. The transcript has 2 exons. Lineage: Eukaryota; Metazoa; Chordata; Mammalia; Rodentia; Cricetidae.